GCGUUACUCGGAAUUACUGGGCGUAAAGCGUGCGUAGGUGGUUCGUUAAGUCUGAUGUGAAAGCCCUGGGCUCAACCUGGGAAUUGCAUUGGAUACUGGCGGGCUCGAGUGCGGUAGAGGGUAGUGGAAUUCCCGGGGUAGCAGUGAAAUGCGUAGAGAUCGGGAGGAACACCAGUGGCAAAGGCGACUACCUGGACCAGCACUGACACUGAGGCACGAAAGCGUG
This 226-nucleotide ribosomal RNA is filed under the name uncultured bacterium. RNAcentral describes it as "partial 16S ribosomal RNA". It matches the Rfam family "Bacterial small subunit ribosomal RNA", at positions 538 to 763 of the family's 1533-position model. The record is from RNAcentral.